GUUUAUUUUUGUUCUUUGCAAUCAACCACAAGUUUAUUUCUUUACAAGUCUUAUAAGGUCAAUUUACAUGAAAGAUAAGGCCUAAGAGUCCUUUGGGAGACGAUACUCGGACUUACCAUUUAUAUAUUACUUGAUAACGAUCUGGUACACUUGCCAGGGGCUUAACAUGCGACUCGGUACACUUGCCGAUUUACCCCAACAACGCUUAAAUUGUUUCUCCUUUUUCUUCCUAAGAUCCUUCUUUGGGUGAGGAAGGGGUUUUUCAUAUGAUUCUUUCUUUUUGCUUUCAUCCUUCCCCUCUCUCUUUUUCUCCUUGGGACACUCCAUAUGGCACAAAGGACUUUUCUCAAUUUUUUUCUUUUCUCUUAACCCCUUCUUUUUCUUCCUCUACAUCCUUCUCUUUUUCACUCAAACAUUCUUUUUCUUCUUCCCUCUCUUUGUCCUUUUCCACCUCUUCAUUCAAACUUUCUUCUUCUUCUCUCUCUAUUUUUCUCUCAUCUAAAGCCUUGCCACCUUCAGUGAUAGUGACUUGACAUUCCUUUCUAGGGCUAUCAUUCAUAUUGGCCCCAAGAUCAUCCAGCUUCUGAAUUAUGAAUCUGCAUUGCACUUCCAUCCUUUCGGCAAGUGUACUGAGUCGCACAAGUAAUAUAAAAUGGUAAGACCAAGUAUC
This 670-nucleotide long non-coding RNA is filed under the name Vigna radiata. RNAcentral describes it as "long non-coding RNA (VRAD_LNC017119)". Lineage: Eukaryota; Viridiplantae; Streptophyta; Magnoliopsida; Fabales; Fabaceae. The record is from RNAcentral.